This 520-nucleotide ribosomal RNA is filed under the name Xanthochorema paniensis. Its description in RNAcentral is "partial 16S ribosomal RNA". The record is from RNAcentral. Lineage: Eukaryota; Metazoa; Arthropoda; Insecta; Trichoptera; Hydrobiosidae.
GUCUUUUUGAAUUUUAUUUAUUUAAAGUCUAAUCUGCUCACUGAAUUAAAAUUUAAAGAGCCGCAGUAUUUUAACUGUGCAAAGGUAGCAUAAUAAUUUGUUUUUUAAUUGAAAACUAGAAUGAAUGAUUGAACGAGAUAUAUUCUGUCUCAAUUUUAAUUUAAUAUAAAUUAAUUUUUUAGUUAAAAAGCUAAAAUUAAUUUAAAAGACGAGAAGACCCUAUAGAUUUUUAUAUAAUUAUUAAUUAAUUUAUAUGUAUAUAAAUAUAUUUAUAUUUAUUAUUAAUUAUAUUUUAUUGGGGUAAUAAAAAAAUAAAAUAAACUUUUAUUAAAUAAAAACAUAAAUUAAUGAAAAUUUGAUCCAAAUUUAAUGAUUAAAAGAUUAAAUUACCUUAGGGAUAACAGCGUAAUUUUAAUUUUAAGUUCUUAUUGAAAUUAAAGAUUGCGACCUCGAUGUUGGAUUAAGAAAAAUUUUAAAAGUAGAUUUUUAAAUUUUAGGUCUGUUCGACCUUUAAAAUCUU